Chiroxiphia lanceolata (lance-tailed manakin) is the source of this 485-nucleotide long non-coding RNA. RefSeq lists it as uncharacterized. Lineage: Eukaryota; Metazoa; Chordata; Aves; Passeriformes; Pipridae. The record is from RefSeq and is a predicted model, not a curated record. The transcript has 3 exons.
GUGGCUGGAACUGAGGAAGAGGGAACAGGAAACACUGCAGAGACAGGGAAGAGGAGGAGCUGGGCUUCAAGGAUGGGCUGAGGAGGAUCAUGCCAUGAAGGGUGUGAAAUGUAGUGGAGAGGGAACAGCAACUCCUUCCUAUGUCCUGACGGAAAUGAGUUCAAUGAGUAGGAUGUUGAGUGGAGAUGUGCACAGCAAGGUGUGAUGGCACAGCAGCAUGGCUGGAAAUGCCACCUGCCAGGACAGCAAGAGGCAGCUUUUACUCUCAAGAUAGACAUACUCAGCCCCAGAAGGCCUCCAAACUGGUCAUCAGGCUUGUCUUCUUGGAGAGCUGUACUGAGGAAACAGUUUGGCCUUCACAGUGCUGCAGAAUCAAGUUGUGAGGAAUUAAAGCAGUUGUAAAUGGAACUCUUUGAGAGAAGGUUAUUGUAUGGCAGCAGGGCUGUAUGGGCUAAAUUUAACCAUUAAAAUCAACAGCAAAAACA